UUAAGCGACUAAGCGUACACGGUGGAUGCCCUGGCAGUCAGAGGCGAUGAAGGACGUGCUAAUCUGCGAUAAGCGCCGGUAAGGUGAUAUGAACCGUUAUAACCGGCGAUUUCCGAAUGGGGAAACCCAGUGUGAUUCGUCACACUAUCAUUAACUGAAUCCAUAGGUUAAUGAGGCGAACCGGGGGAACUGAAACAUCUAAGUACCCCGAGGAAAAGAAAUCAACCGAGAUUCCCCCAGUAGCGGCGAGCGAACGGGGAGGAGCCCAGAGCCUGAAUCAGCAUGUGUGUUAGUGGAAGCGUCUGGAAAGGCGCGCGAUACAGGGUGACAGCCCCGUACACAAAAGCGCAUGUGCUGUGAGCUCGAUGAGUAGGGCGGGACACGUGGUAUCCUGUCUGAAUAUGGGGGGGACCAUCCUCCAAGGCUAAAUACUCCUGACUGACCGAUAGUGAACCAGUACCGUGAGGGAAAGGCGAAAAGAACCCCGGCGAGGGGAGUGAAAAAGAACCUGAAACCGUGUACGUACAAGCAGUGGGAGCACAGGUUUACCUGUGUGACUGCGUACCUUUUGUAUAAUGGGUCAGCGACUUAUAUUCUGUAGCAAGGUUAACCGUAUAGGGGAGCCGGAGGGAAACCGAGUCUUAAUUGGGCGUUAAGUUGCAGGGUAUAGACCCGAAACCCGGUGAUCUAGCCAUGGGCAGGUUGAAGGUUGGGUAACACUAACUGGAGGACCGAACCGACUAAUGUUGAAAAAUUAGCGGAUGACCUGUGGCUGGGGGUGAAAGGCCAAUCAAACCGGGAGAUAGCUGGUUCUCCCCGAAAGCUAUUUAGGUAGCGCCUCGUGAAUUCAUCUCCGGGGGUAGAGCACUGUUUCGGCUAGGGGGCCAUCCCGGCUUACCAACCCGAUGCAAACUGCGAAUACCGGAGAAUGUUAUCACGGGAGACACACGGCGGGUGCUAACGUCCGUCGUGAAGAGGGAAACAACCCAGACCGCCAGCUAAGGUCCCAAAGUCAUGGUUAAGUGGGAAACGAUGUGGGAAGGCCCAGACAGCCAGGAUGUUGGCUUAGAAGCAGCCAUCAUUUAAAGAAAGCGUAAUAGCUCACUGGUCGAGUCGGCCUGCGCGGAAGAUGUAACGGGGCUAAACCAUGCACCGAAGCUGCGGCAGCGAACGUAUCACCCAAGACAACUUUACGGAGUUGACGAUUGACGGAGCGAAGCGACGUCAAAGCGUUCAUUAAAGUCGAGUUGGCUUAGGGAUACGUUCGUUGGGUAGGGGAGCGUUCUGUAAGCCUGUGAAGGUGUGUCGUGAGGCAUGCUGGAGGUAUCAGAAGUGCGAAUGCUGACAUAAGUAACGAUAAAGCGGGUGAAAAGCCCGCUCGCCGGAAGACCAAGGGUUCCUGUCCAACGUUAAUCGGGGCAGGGUGAGUCGACCCCUAAGGCGAGGCCGAAAGGCGUAGUCGAUGGGAAACGGGUUAAUAUUCCCGUACUUGGUGUUACUGCGAAGGGGGGACGGAGAAGGCUAUGUUGGCCGGGCGACGGUUGUCCCGGUUUAAGCGUGUAGGUGUGUGUUCCAGGUAAAUCCGGUUCACUUUAACACUGAGGCGUGACGACGAGGCACUACGGUGCUGAAGCAACAAAUGCCCUGCUUCCAGGAAAAGCCUCUAAGCAUCAGGUAACACGAAAUCGUACCCCAAACCGACACAGGUGGUCAGGUAGAGAAUACCAAGGCGCUUGAGAGAACUCGGGUGAAGGAACUAGGCAAAAUGGUGCCGUAACUUCGGGAGAAGGCACGCUGACACGUAGGUGAAGUGAUUUACUCAUGGAGCUGAAGUCAGUCGAAGAUACCAGCUGGCUGCAACUGUUUAUUAAAAACACAGCACUGUGCAAACACGAAAGUGGACGUAUACGGUGUGACGCCUGCCCGGUGCCGGAAGGUUAAUUGAUGGGGUCAGCGCAAGCGAAGCUCCUGAUCGAAGCCCCGGUAAACGGCGGCCGUAACUAUAACGGUCCUAAGGUAGCGAAAUUCCUUGUCGGGUAAGUUCCGACCUGCACGAAUGGCGUAAUGAUGGCCAGGCUGUCUCCACCCGAGACUCAGUGAAAUUGAACUCGCUGUGAAGAUGCAGUGUACCCGCGGCAAGACGGAAAGACCCCGUGAACCUUUACUAUAGCUUGACACUGAACAUUGAGCCUUGAUGUGUAGGAUAGGUGGGAGGCUUUGAAGUGUGGACGCCAGUCUGCAUGGAGCCGACCUUGAAAUACCACCCUUUAAUGUUUGAUGUUCUAACGUGGACCCGUAAUCCGGGUUGCGGACAGUGUCUGGUGGGUAGUUUGACUGGGGCGGUCUCCUCCUAAAGAGUAACGGAGGAGCACGAAGGUUGGCUAAUCCUGGUCGGACAUCAGGAGGUUAGUGCAAUGGCAUAAGCCAGCUUGACUGCGAGCGUGACGGCGCGAGCAGGUGCGAAAGCAGGUCAUAGUGAUCCGGUGGUUCUGAAUGGAAGGGCCAUCGCUCAACGGAUAAAAGGUACUCCGGGGAUAACAGGCUGAUACCGCCCAAGAGUUCAUAUCGACGGCGGUGUUUGGCACCUCGAUGUCGGCUCAUCACAUCCUGGGGCUGAAGUAGGUCCCAAGGGUAUGGCUGUUCGCCAUUUAAAGUGGUACGCGAGCUGGGUUUAGAACGUCGUGAGACAGUUCGGUCCCUAUCUGCCGUGGGCGCUGGAGAACUGAGGGGGGCUGCUCCUAGUACGAGAGGACCGGAGUGGACGCAUCACUGGUGUUCGGGUUGUCAUGCCAAUGGCACUGCCCGGUAGCUAAAUGCGGAAGAGAUAAGUGCUGAAAGCAUCUAAGCACGAAACUUGCCCCGAGAUGAGUUCUCCCUGAGACUUAGAGUCUCCUGAAGGAACGUUGAAGACGACGACGUUGAUAGGCCGGGUGUGUAAGCGCAGCGAUGCGUUGAGCUAACCGGUACUAAUGAACCGUGAGGCUUAACCUU
This 2991-nucleotide ribosomal RNA is filed under the name Salmonella enterica subsp. enterica serovar Typhimurium. RNAcentral describes it as "bacterial LSU rRNA". It matches the Rfam family "Bacterial large subunit ribosomal RNA". Lineage: Bacteria; Pseudomonadati; Pseudomonadota; Gammaproteobacteria; Enterobacterales; Enterobacteriaceae. The record is from RNAcentral.